This 1253-nucleotide ribosomal RNA is filed under the name Cellulomonadaceae str. WB11. Its description in RNAcentral is "bacterial SSU rRNA". It matches the Rfam family "Bacterial small subunit ribosomal RNA", at positions 117 to 1388 of the family's 1533-position model. Lineage: Bacteria; Bacillati; Actinomycetota; Actinomycetes; Micrococcales; Cellulomonadaceae. The record is from RNAcentral.
GUGGAGUCACCUGCCCCUGACUCUGGAAUAACCGUGGGAAACGACGGCUAAUACCGGAUAUGAGACGUCCACGCAUGUGAGCGUCUGGAAAGAUUUAUCGGUCUGGGAUGGACUCGCGGCCUAUCAGCUUGUUGGUGGGGUAAUGGCCCACCAAGGCGACGACGGGUAGCCGGCCUGAGAGGGCGACCGGCCACACUGGGACUGAGAUACGGCCCAGACUCCUACGGGAGGCAGCAGUGGGGAAUAUUGCACAAUGGGCGCAACUGGAUGCAGCGACGCCGCGUGGGGGAUGAAGGCCUUCGGGUUGUAAACCCUUUCAGCAGGGAAGAAGCGAAAGUGACGGUACCUGCAGAAGAAGCGCCGGCUAACUACGUGCCAGCAGCCGCGGUAAUACGUAGGGCGCAACUUUGUCCGGAAUUAUUGGGGCUUAAAGAGCUCGUAGGCGGUUUGUCGCGUCUGCUGUGAAAACCCGAGGCUCAACCUCGGGCUUGCAGUGGGUACGGGCAGACUAGAGUGCGGUAGGGGUGACUGGAAUUCCUGGUGUAGCGGUGGAAUGCGCAGAUAUCAGGGAGGAACACCGAUAGCGAAAGCAAGUCACUGGGCCGCCACUGACGCUGAGGAGCGGAAGCAUUGGGAGCGGACACGAGUUAGAUACCCUGGUAGUCCAUGCCGUAAACGUUGGGCACUAGGUGUUGGGCUCAUUCCACGAGUUCCGUGCCGCAGCAAACGCAUUAAGUGCCCGCCUGGGAGUACGGCGCAAGCUAAAACUCAAAGAAUUGACGGGGCCCGCACAAGCAGCAGAGCAUGCGGAUUAAUUCGAUGCAACGCGAAGAACCUUACCAAGGCUUGACAUACACCGGAAAAGUGCAGAGAUGUGCUCCCCGCAAGGUCGGGUGUACAGGUGGUGCAUGGUUGUCGUCAGCUCGUGUCGUGAGAUGUUGGGUUAAGUCCCGCAACGAGCGCAACCCUCGUCCUAUGUUGCCAGCACGUUAUGGUGGGGACUCAUAGGAGACUGCCGGGGUCAACUCGGAGGAAGGUGGGGAUGACGUCAAAUCAUCAUGCCCCUUAUGUCUUGGGCUUCACGCAUGCUACAAUGGCCGGUACAAAGGGCUGCGAUACCGCAAGGUGGAGCGAAUCCCAAAAAGCCGGUCUCAGUUCGGAUUGGGGUCUGCAACUCGACCCCAUGAAGUCGGAGUCGCUAGUAAUCGCAGAUCAGCAACGCUGCGGUGAAUACGUUCCCGGGCCUUGUACAC